Molecule: long non-coding RNA, 1079 nt
Organism: Acanthopagrus latus (yellowfin seabream)
Lineage: Eukaryota; Metazoa; Chordata; Actinopteri; Spariformes; Sparidae
Exons: 3
Source: RefSeq, a predicted model, not a curated record
UUCUACGAGCCACAGAUAUGUCCGAGGUUGACAUUUGUACCAAAGUGGCGUAUCACAUUCACAUUAUGUGCUCAUUAGCCGCCUGUUAUGUCAGGAGGUGUAGAGGGAGGUGAUGACAGCGUAUGUUACAGCCAGCAAGGCUCGAAUCAUAUCACUAGACAUUUUAAUGGAAACCUGGAUAUUUCCAGAUGUUUUGUUCACAUUAACAGCAGGUGUUUUUUGAGACCUGUGGACAUUUCCAGCAGUUUAUGUGGCAAACAUAACCGGAUAUUUUUCCCAGGAGGUUUGACCGUCUCCAUCCUUGAUUGUGGCAACCAAAACAGGUGGUGCGUUUAGAUCAUCUGGAUUAAUGAAGCGAGUACAGCUGGACUCCAAAUCUGCUCUUCUUUCAUCUCCACUUUUUUCAUUCCUUCGCUCUCUCCUCCCAUAUUUCCUCUGCUCCUCCGUCGAUCUUUUUCAGUAAAUCCGUUCUUCCCCUCUCCCCUGAGGUCACAUGUGUUCUGCAGUUAUUCCAGCCAUCGCUUUCUGUUUUACGAACCUCCACAUCUUCAUCCUCCUCGCUGCCCCGGGGGCCACGCAGCUGUGAAUUAAGAAGCUCGCUGACCUCCAGCCACUGAUCAUCACAAGGGGAGAAGAACAGAGAGGAACACGUUGAUCUGUCAGGAUGAAGUCAGCCUCUGAAAGCUGACAUGGAAAUGAGCUUCAACACCGGGAUCCUCCAACGGACAAUCAGAGAAAUGAGCUGCGUUACGCAGUUCUGUACAUUUGUUAUGUCAGCAAAUUCUUAAUUAAUGUCACCUUUAACCUUCUGACACAAAUGUACAGUUAUAACGGCUGACGUGUGUUGAGUGAGACGAUUUAGUUCCCUGAGCACAUUAAAAAGGAAUUUAGAUGAUAUUUCGCUCUAUUUAUGAUAAACGGCACCAAAAUAUGGUAUAAGGGGCACACCGGACCAGAGGCUGCAGAAAUGAGUCUUAACAACCCAGAAAUACGUAUACGCAUCUUUAAACUUCUGGUUUAUCUUGAAGUCAAUGGUUUUCAGAUAAAUGUCUGAAAUAACGUCUGUUAUUAUUACAGGU